Molecule: long non-coding RNA, 573 nt
Organism: Carassius auratus (goldfish)
Lineage: Eukaryota; Metazoa; Chordata; Actinopteri; Cypriniformes; Cyprinidae
Exons: 5
Source: RefSeq, a predicted model, not a curated record
UCACAACAAGGUCUGUAAUAUCACAACAACACAGUGUAAAAAAUAAGUAUUUCACAGCAGUAAACAGUAUUAUUACAGUGAAAUAUUGUAUUGAAAUGUGCCAUGGGAAGUCACAUGACAUAACCGAUCUGUUUUGAAUUGAAAGCGCUGUCGUCGUGUCCCUCUUCUAUUCCGGGCUGAAUGGAGAAGCAGGUAUCCUAGUUACAACAUGACUGAGCUAACUGGAGAGCCAUCCAAAAUCAUUUGGUGACACUGGCAAGCACGGUGAUACUGCUGGAGACGGAUGUCACUCUCUUCUGCAACAUGUAAAAAUUAGAGUGGAGAAAAAAAAUAGGAAUAAAGCUCUUGCUCAAUGCUGCAGAGAAAGAAGACCGCGCACUGGAAUGGCAGGAGAGGCCAGAGGCAAGAGGUCCUGUUGACCAAUACAGGUUGGAGCUAUACAUGGUAUCGCCAGACUAAGGGAACUGCUGGAUGAACAGGAGAAAGGUGUGUCAGGUGGGGCCCAGCAGAUUUGCCAAAGGGGGAGACCGAGGCAACAUUGGAGAAUAUAAAGAGGGAUCUGCUGAACAUCUA